CCUACGGGUGGCAGCAGUGGGGAAUAUUGGACAAUGGGGGGAACCCUGAUCCAGCCAUGCCGCGUGUGUGAAGAAGGCACUCGGGUUGUAAAGCACUUUCAGUGAGGAAGAACGCCUGGUGGUUAAUACCCAUCAGGAAAGACAUCACUCACAGAAGAAGCACCGGCUAACUCCGUGCCAGCAGCCGCGGUAAUACGGAGGGUGCGAGCGUUAAUCGGAAUUACUGGGCGUAAAGCGCGCGUAGGUGGCUUGAUAAGCCGGUUGUGAAAGCCCCGGGCUCAACCUGGGAACGGCAUCCGGAACUGUCAAGCUAGAGUGCAGGAGAGGAAGGUAGAAUUCCCGGUGUAGCGGUGAAAUGCGUAGAGAUCGGGAGGAAUACCAGUGGCGAAGGCGGCCUUCUGGACUGACACUGACACUGAGGUGCGAAAGCGUGGGUAGCAAACAGGAUUAGAUACCCCAGUAGUC
Molecule: ribosomal RNA, 465 nt
Filed under: Vreelandella stevensii
Lineage: Bacteria; Pseudomonadati; Pseudomonadota; Gammaproteobacteria; Oceanospirillales; Halomonadaceae
Description: partial 16S ribosomal RNA
Rfam family: Bacterial small subunit ribosomal RNA
Source: RNAcentral